UACGUAGGGGGCAAGCGUUGUCCGGAAUUAUUGGGCGUAAAGCGCGUGUAGGCGGUCCGGUAAGUCGGUUGUGAAAGUCCAGGGCUCAACCCUGGGAUGCCGAUCGAUACUGCCGGACUAGAGUCCGGAAGAGGCGAGUGGAAUUCCUGGUGUAGCGGUGGAAUGCGCAGAUAUCAGGAGGAACACCAAUAGCGAAGGCAGCUCGCUGGGACGUUACUGACACUGAGGCGCGAAAGCGUGGGGAGCGAACAGG
Molecule: ribosomal RNA, 253 nt
Filed under: uncultured bacterium
Lineage: Bacteria
Description: partial 16S ribosomal RNA
Rfam family: Bacterial small subunit ribosomal RNA
Source: RNAcentral